Molecule: ribosomal RNA, 320 nt
Filed under: uncultured eukaryote
Lineage: Eukaryota
Description: partial 18S ribosomal RNA
Rfam family: Eukaryotic small subunit ribosomal RNA
Source: RNAcentral
CCCUUAGAUGUUCUGGGCCGCACGCGCGCUACACUGGACAGUUCAACAAGUCUUAACCUUGACCGAUAGGUCUGGGUAAUCUUUGAACGCUGUUCGUGAUUGGGAUAGACCUUUGCAAUUAUGGGUCUUCAACGAGGAAUUCCUAGUAAACGCAAGUCAUCGGCUUGCAUUGAUUACGUCCCUGCCCUUUGUACACACCGCCCGUCGCACCUACCGAUUGAAUGGUCCGGUGAAAUCUCGGGACGGCGGCUUGGUCGCUUGCGUCCGACUGCUGAAACUUGAUUAAACCAUAUCAUUUAGAGGAAGGUGAANUCGUANCA